Molecule: ribosomal RNA, 1372 nt
Filed under: uncultured bacterium
Lineage: Bacteria
Description: bacterial SSU rRNA
Rfam family: Bacterial small subunit ribosomal RNA
Source: RNAcentral
GAUGAACGCUGGCGGCGUGCCUAAUACAUGCAAGUCGAGCGAACGGACGAGAAGCUUGCUUCUCUGAUGUUAGCGGCGGACGGGUGAGUAACACGUGGAUAACCUACCUAUAAGACUGGGAUAACUUCGGGAAACCGGAGCUAAUACCGGAUAAUAUUUUGAACCGCAUGGUUCAAAAGUGAAAGACGGUCUUGCUGUCACUUAUAGAUGGAUCCGCGCUGCAUUAGCUAGUUGGUAAGGUAACGGCUUACCAAGGCAACGAUGCAUAGCCGACCUGAGAGGGUGAUCGGCCACACUGGAACUGAGACACGGUCCAGACUCCUACGGGAGGCAGCAGUAGGGAAUCUUCCGCAAUGGGCGAAAGCCUGACGGAGCAACGCCGCGUGAGUGAUGAAGGUCUUCGGAUCGUAAAACUCUGUUAUUAGGGAAGAACAUAUGUGUAAGUAACUGUGCACAUCUUGACGGUACCUAAUCAGAAAGCCACGGCUAACUACGUGCCAGCAGCCGCGGUAAUACGUAGGUGGCAAGCGUUAUCCGGAAUUAUUGGGCGUAAAGCGCGCGUAGGCGGUUUUUUAAGUCUGAUGUGAAAGCCCACGGCUCAACCGUGGAGGGUCAUUGGAAACUGGAAAACUUGAGUGCAGAAGAGGAAAGUGGAAUUCCAUGUGUAGCGGUGAAAUGCGCAGAGAUAUGGAGGAACACCAGUGGCGAAGGCGACUUUCUGGUCUGUAACUGACGCUGAUGUGCGAAAGCGUGGGGAUCAAACAGGAUUAGAUACCCUGGUAGUCCACGCCGUAAACGAUGAGUGCUAAGUGUUAGGGGGUUUCCGCCCCUUAGUGCUGCAGCUAACGCAUUAGGCACUCCGCCUGGGGAGUACGACCGCAAGGUUGAAACUCAAAGGAAUUGACGGGGACCCGCACAAGCGGUGGAGCAUGUGGUUUAAUUCGAAGCAACGCGAAGAACCUUACCAAAUCUUGACAUCCUUUGACAACUCUAGAGAUAGAGCUUUCCCCUUCGGGGGACAAAGUGACAGGUGGUGCAUGGUUGUCGUCAGCUCGUGUCGUGAGAUGUUGGGUUAAGUCCCGCAACGAGCGCAACCCUUAAGCUUAGUUGCCAUCAUUAAGUUGGGCACUCUAAGUUGACUGCCGGUGACAAACCGGAGGAAGGUGGGGAUGACGUCAAAUCAUCAUGCCCCUUAUGAUUUGGGCUACACACGUGCUACAAUGGACAAUACAAAGGGCAGCGAAACCGCGAGGUCAAGCAAAUCCCAUAAAGUUGUUCUCAGUUCGGAUUGUAGUCUGCAACUCGACUACAUGAAGCUGGAAUCGCUAGUAAUCGUAGAUCAGCAUGCUACGGUGAAUACGUUCCCGGGUCU